RNAcentral lists this ribosomal RNA (253 nucleotides) under uncultured bacterium. Its description in RNAcentral is "partial 16S ribosomal RNA". It matches the Rfam family "Bacterial small subunit ribosomal RNA", at positions 524 to 776 of the family's 1533-position model. The record is from RNAcentral.
UACGUAGGGUGCAAGCGUUAUCCGGAAUUACUGGGCGUAAAGCGUGCGCAGGCGGUUUUGUAAGACAGAUGUGAAAUCCCCGGGCUUAACCUGGGAACUGCGUUUGUGACUGCAAGACUCGAGUGCGGCAGAGGGGGGUGGAAUUCCACGUGUAGCAGUGAAAUGCGUAGAGAUGUGGAGGAACACCGAUGGCGAAGGCAGCCCCCUGGGUCGACACUGACGCUCAUGCACGAAAGCGUGGGGAGCAAACAGG